Molecule: ribosomal RNA, 457 nt
Filed under: uncultured bacterium
Lineage: Bacteria
Description: bacterial SSU rRNA
Rfam family: Bacterial small subunit ribosomal RNA
Source: RNAcentral
CGCUGGCGGCGUGCUUAACACAUGCAAGUCGAACGAUGAACCUGGAGCUUGCUCUGGGGGAUUAGUGGCGAACGGGUGAGUAACACGUGAGUAACCUGCCCUGGACUCUGGGAUAACCCCGAGAAAUCGGAGCUAAUACCGGAUAGGACCUGGAACCGCAUGGUUUUGGGUGGAAAGUUUUUUCGGUCUGGGAUGGACUCGCGGCCUAUCAGCUUGUUGGUGAGGUAAUGGCUCACCAAGGCGUCGACGGGUAGCCGGCCUGAGAGGGUGACCGGCCACACUGGGACUGAGACACGGCCCAGACUCCUACGGGAGGCAGCAGUGGGGAAUAUUGCACAAUGGGCGCAAGCCUGAUGCAGCAACGCCGCGUGAGGGAUGACGGCCUUCGGGUUGUAAACCUCUUUUAGUAGGGAAGAAGGGCUUCGGCUUGACGGUACCUGCAGAAAAAGCACCGGCU